RNAcentral lists this ribosomal RNA (242 nucleotides) under uncultured bacterium. Its description in RNAcentral is "partial 16S ribosomal RNA". It matches the Rfam family "Bacterial small subunit ribosomal RNA", at positions 796 to 1041 of the family's 1533-position model. The record is from RNAcentral.
CACACGGUAAACGAUGGAUGCCCGUUCUGCGGCCUUAUGGCUGCGGGACCAAGCGAAAGCAUUAAGCAUCCCACCUGGGGAGUACGCCGGCAACGGUGAAACUCAAAGGAAUUGACGGGGGCCCGCACAAGCGGAGGAACAUGUGGUUUAAUUCGAUGAUACGCGAGGAACCUUACCCGGGCUUGAAUUGCAGACUGAUCCGGCAGAGAUGCCGGAGUCCUUCGGGAAGUCUGUGAAGGUGC